RNAcentral lists this ribosomal RNA (1016 nucleotides) under uncultured bacterium. Its description in RNAcentral is "bacterial SSU rRNA". It matches the Rfam family "Bacterial small subunit ribosomal RNA", at positions 357 to 1376 of the family's 1533-position model. The record is from RNAcentral.
AGGAAUAUUGGUCAAUGGGCGAUGGCCUGAACCAGCCAAGUAGCGUGAAGGAUGACUGCCCUAUGGGUUGUAAACUUCUUUUAUAAAGGAAUAAAGUCGGGUAUGCAUACCCGUUUGCAUGUACUUUAUGAAUAAGGAUCGGCUAACUCCGUGCCAGCAGCCGCGGUAAUACGGAGGAUCCGAGCGUUAUCCGGAUUUAUUGGGUUUAAAGGGAGCGUAGAUGGAUGUUUAAGUCAGUUGUGAAAGUUUGCGGCUCAACCGUAAAAUUGCAGUUGAUACUGGAUGUCUUGAGUGCAGUUGAGGCAGGCGGAAUUCGUGGUGUAGCGGUGAAAUGCUUAGAUAUCACGAAGAACUCCGAUUGCGAAGGCAGCCUGCUAAGCUGCAACUGACAUUGAGGCUCGAAAGUGUGGGUAUCAAACAGGAUUAGAUACCCUGGUAGUCCACACGGUAAACGAUGAAUACUCGCUGUUUGCGAUAUACGGCAAGCGGCCAAGCGAAAGCGUUAAGUAUUCCACCUGGGGAGUACGCCGGCAACGGUGAAACUCAAAGGAAUUGACGGGGGCCCGCACAAGCGGAGGAACAUGUGGUUUAAUUCGAUGAUACGCGAGGAACCUUACCCGGGCUUGAAUUGCAACUGAAUGAUGUGGAGACAUGUCAGCCGCAAGGCAGUUGUGAAGGUGCUGCAUGGUUGUCGUCAGCUCGUGCCGUAAGGUGUCGGCUUAAGUGCCAUAACGAGCGCAACCCUUAUCGAUAGUUACCAUCAGGUUAUGCUGGGGACUCUGUCGAGACUGCCGUCGUAAGAUGUGAGGAAGGUGGGGAUGACGUCAAAUCAGCACGGCCCUUACGUCCGGGGCUACACACGUGUUACAAUGGGGGGUACAGAAGGCAGCUACACGGCGACGUGAUGCUAAUCCCUAAAGCCUCUCUCAGUUCGGAUUGGAGUCUGCAACCCGACUCCAUGAAGCUGGAUUCGCUAGUAAUCGCGCAUCAGCCAUGGCGCGGUGAAUACGUUCCCG